RNAcentral lists this unclassified non-coding RNA (6859 nucleotides) under Hevea brasiliensis (rubber tree). Lineage: Eukaryota; Viridiplantae; Streptophyta; Magnoliopsida; Malpighiales; Euphorbiaceae. The record is from RNAcentral.
GUAAAACUGCAAAAUCUUGAGCUGCAAUAUGAAAGAUUAUGAUCUAAUGAUUCAUACUUCAUGUGAUGUGAGAGAGAGCAUUUACACAGGAGAUCAAGAUUAUCAAGUGGUCCAAAUAAUUAGACCCCCAAAGCCAAAUCAAGAAAUCACAUCAAACAAAUUGACACUGUUACAACCUAUAGAAAGCAAAAGGGGCAAGGUCAAAAGUGGACAUUGCAAAGCAGAUAUGAAUAUAACAAAAGCAACAGAAAGCAAAUACCCCAUUCGUUUUGCAGCUCUAAAAGCACAAUUCCUAUCUCAUUCAGGUGCGUCUGCCAUGGACUGGAGCUCUUCUUUGAAGGCAUUUCACUGAGGUCUCUCGCUUAACUAAAAAAGCAUGCCCGUGAAUGCAGUUUGAGUUUCAAUCCUGAUGAAGUUAAUGAGUAGGUGAUGCUGGAUUGCUGUAAACUUUUUCCAUUGCUGUUGAAGCAAGGUUUAGUAGCUGGUUCCUAGGUGCUGGUCUCAUUGCUGAUUCUUCACUAUAUACACUACAAUGAGUUCAUGAGUAUCUAUCAAUCAGUAUUUUGAUUCAAAUUUUGCACGGUCAAACGACAUUUCUCCAUGGUUGAAAUGAUCUGCCAAGCAAGCUUUCCAUCAGCCACAGACCAAGUGCAGCAAAAAAACACUGCUGCUAAUUUUUUUCGAGGACUAUCAAUAAUUCUGUAAGGGCAGUCAUCCUUCCAACACAAGGACACAUGAAAUGACUCCACUUGAAGAUGUUCCCCAAGAUUUUGUAUGUUCCAUCCAGGAAAAUCAGUUGUUAGUUCUGUGAAUAAUUGCUGAAGCCAACUGCAUUUAUUAGAGAGACCAAGUACAUCAUCUGCUGAGAUAUGAUCUCUUCUAGCCUCAUCUAAGUUGUCAACAUGUACAGGACAACAAUAAGCAACCUGAACCUCAUGCUGUUUUUCUCCCAACAUUAGCAGCAGCUCUUCUUGAUGCACAACCCUUGCCUUUUUGCUUUUCUCCAUAACCAAGAUCCCCUCAGCAACUCUUUCAUCAGUUACCUGAAACCGAGAUUUGCCAUUCGUCCUUUCUAAAAUUGAAUCAGAUGUAUCUUCUGAACUUUCAUUUAAAAACCUGAAAUUAGGACUCAAACAACUAUGGAAAAACAUCUCUGAGGCAUGUGCUUUUACAAAGACAGUGGAAGGAAUGCACACAGUAUCACAAUUUGCAGGAACAUAACAUUGAAUUCCCAAUUCAGACUGGAUUCUUUCUUUCAGAGAUGCCAUUUUAGGCUUUUCACCAUGUACUAAUAUCACGUGCUUAGGAGAAAGAAAUUUAACUAGAUCCAUAAUUCCUUUGGCAUCUGUAUGGGGGCUGAAAGACAAUUGAUGGAUCUGGCAUCGCACAUCAAUUUGCGUGUCCUUGUCCAAAUUAAUUUUAGUGGGUUUACCCGACAUCAAUUUAUGACCUAUGGUUCCAGCCACACAAUAUCUAGAAAAGAAAAGAGAGAAGCUACAGUAAAUUUGGAAAGACAGCUACAAGUUUACUAUUCCACUAUGGUUUCUAAAGAAAUGAGCAUGCAACAUUUUCCGCUAAGAAAAGGACUGCAGAUAUCAUAGACACUAGAAUAGAUAUAAUGGAUUCUCAAAAGCAACUAUUGCCGACUAAGUACUUGUAGUUUGUCUACCUGAAACUCUGUACAAACAUCUCAUCCAAGACACACAUCAAAAAAUACAAGGAUGAUCAUGUGAUUCAAGAGAAAACACUGCUUUAUUCUAUAUUUUCACACUUCUUUUAUUUUCUAUUUCAAAGAUCAAAGCAAAGUAAUAUUUAAUGAUGCAGCAAAUGAUUCAAUGAACCUGCAGGUAAUGUUCAACUUAUGCUCUCAUUUUGUGUGCAUAGAAAGAAUUUAAAAAAUGUCAAAACAAUAGGGGGAAAACCUUGAACAAUUUUAUGCCAUUUAUGGGCAUUUGACCAAGAAGUCUUGAGUCUUGGGAUGUUUUUUGCUUUAUUCUAAAAGAAGAUAUCGAGAACAAGCUAAACAGUAUAUAUUUGAUGUUAUAAUGUCAUAUGCAUCAAAUGGAAGUUAAAAUGCCACAUGAGACUUUGCUGUGGUAGUGUGCUUUUCAUGAUUAUCAACUGUUAGGUUCCAACUGGCAGAUGUACCAAGCAUGCUCCUAUUAAAUAGUCCAAAUUAAAAGGAGAAAAUAACAAGUUAUUACCCAGGCAAUGUUACAAGAUUCAUCUCAGAAGGAGCCCAAUGCUUAAAAACCUCUAAUGAGAAACCACCACUAAUCAUCCCAGGAGUGGCAAACAGAAUGCAUGGUCCAGGAGCAUCUAUCAUAGAGCGGUCAAAAUUACAAACUGAAACAUCAAACCAAAGAAUGAGAGAUAGAACUUAUUCAAAUAAAAAGAAUAAAAGUAAAAGAACAUUAUUAUGCAAUCAGACAUUUCAUAGGAGACCCACAUUUAGAAUGAAUCAGGAUAUUGAAUUGUUUGAUACACUCGAGAUGGCUAAAUGUCCUCAAAUAAGUCCAUCAUAGUUUCAGUGCCUUCAUCAAUGUUAUGCUCUACUGCAUUUGUUUCACUAAAUCUGUUUCACUAAAUCAAACUGUAGGAUCAAAAAAUGCCAUCUACUCUAGAAGCUUCAUAACAUCUGAAACAUGUCAGCUUGUUCAGAAUAAAUUCUAAUGGAAAUGAAAAGUCUAAAUAGGUUUUCUAUUUCAAUUAUUAUGUUUGCAAUAAAUCAAUGGAAUUAAAUAUUAGGAACAAAGAAAUUUUUACCAUAUUAAUUUCAGGGUGUGUGAUAGCAUUAAAGAAUGUGGGUGAAAGUAAUGGUGGGGAUGGCAGUGAUUGGAAAAUUAUAUUGGGGAUUAGGGGUAGGAUGGGGGUGUGCUGCAGUGGUGGUCAUGAAAGAGGGUGUUGGUACUAGGAGAUCUGAUUUUCAUUUUGAUUAAUAUGAGUUUGGAUAUUUACUGUCAGUCCUGUGAAUUUUAUUAACUUUGAAAGCUAGGGAAUUAAAAAUCCUCACUUUUUAUAGGACUUCUAUAUCCUUGGUUUUAAAAUAGACAAAAUUUCAAUUUCAACUCUCAUUUCAUUACAGAGGAAUUAUUUAAAACUAUGGAAUCAGAAAUCCAAUUCCAUUGCUUAAUUGUUUCACAAACACAUAAAACAAGUGAUUUAAUUCUUCCCCUGAAAUGGGAGAGAGCAAAGUAACUAUAAGCUUCAGAAGCAUUACUACAUUUGGAUGCUCAAAUGGCAACUGCAGAAAAUACCAUUUUUAAAAUCAAAUGCAUUAUGUGUAGUAUACGUCUCUUUGACCUUCUGGCUGGUCCAGCCAAUAAGCAUUUUGUAGUACAUAUUAGCUUGAAUUGUCAAACCAGCAGAGAAGUAUAUAGGAACUUUUAGAUUCAUGCGUUCCCAGUAAUCAUCCAACAAAAUACAGAGUUCCUGAGCUCUUCCAAGUGCAAAGGUAGGAAUAAGCACCUUUCCACCAGCAGCAACACAUUUAUGAACCUCUAGUCUAGCUUGCCAAUGCCAAGUGCCAACCCAACAACAUAAAUCUAAACUGUGAUUAACCAGCCUCAAGGAUGGAUUCAUUAACAAAAAACAAGAAAGAAAAGCAUGCACACUUGCAAUUUGAUGUUAAGAAGUUGAAGCAACGAUGCCAACUCCAACCCUUGAAAAGAAAUACAACAAGAAUAAGAAAGAAAAUUAAUUUAAGAUAAUCAGAGAAGAAACAUUUAAGAAAUUCAUCUUAUCUCUCAAAUCCUCUAGCGAAUGUAAGAAUGGGACAUGAGUUGAUGCCAUUAACUAUUUAGGGCAUUAAAAAAGGUAGCAUUGCACAAAUACUAAGCAUUGAUCAGAUGCUAAGCAUUGAUACUGGAAGGAAUGAUCACAUAACUCUGCAACCCUAGUUAAACAAACAAAACUGUUUAAACAACCUUUGGAGCUAUCUAAAAACCAAAUUGUCAACUUCUGAAUUUAUAAUUUUAGUCUUUAAGAAAAGUGUCAUUAAACAAUUUAGGUAAAGAGCAAUACAACCAAUUGGAUAUCAAAUAUCUAUAGUCCUCAAUCAAUUUAUGAUUGAAAAGACACAAAAUCUUACUAUCAUGAGAAGUAUUGGAAAGGAAAUGAGGUGAACGGUGAAAUCUACAAAAAUAUAGAAUGUGUACAUGAUGGAGAAUUGACAGUUUGGUUUACAUACAACUUUAAGAAAUUCCCUCUCCCGAGCAUAUUUUGAAUCACGAAUAGUUGUUGCAUAUGUAGAUUCUGUUAUGAGAAGAUCUAGUUGCAAUCGAUCAAUUUGAGCGGCUCCAAGAUGUCUAUCUGGGGUCAUAUUAUAGUCCCCUGUGUAAACCAUAGCAGAGUCUCCCACCUUUGCAUAAAACAUUGCAGCUCCAAGAACCUUAAGGAAAAAAAAAAUUGAAAGAGGAUCAAAUGUUAACAUAAAACAAACCCAUAACAACAUAGGCUUCAUUCCCAGAAUACCACUGAUUUUUGGAUUGUUUAAAACGUUUUGGUACAAACAAUAUGGCGCAGGUUAUACCAAUUUUCCCAUCAAACAUGCGUCCAACAAGCAUAUCCAAGAAAACAGGUGACAACAUCUCCUAAUUGACUAUUAGUUCCUUGUUUACUCCCACUUUUUUUUUCUGAAAAUGUACCACCAAAUAGUUAUCAUAUUAAUUUCAUAGUAAAGUUAAUCCUCCUACAUCCACACCAACUAAUCAAGUAUUUUCAGGACAUAUCAAGGAUAUACCCUGGAAAAAGGCGCAAAAACAUGAGUAGCAAAACAAAUCUUCAAAUGUCAGCCUUACUGUUUCAAGCGAAGACUAUCAUCAAUCCCUACCGUAACAGAAAAAGUUCUUUCAUAAGAUUUCUUAGUUUUACAAAUAACUGUUGAUCUCCCACAAGUAUUUUACUCUUUAGUUUACACUGAAAAUAGACACAAGCUACCAGUCUCAAUUUGCUAGAUCAACAUUAGUUUAUCUAGAAAAUUUUAUGUUAACAAGUGCCUUAUUUCCUGGGGCUCGAGAGUUGACAACAGUACAAUUCAGACUGCCAAUGCAACUGGAACUAAGAAUUAUCUCAAAAAAUCACCACCCUCAAUUUCUGGGAUAAUGCAGAAACUUUAAAAUCACAACGUCUCCUCCGCUAGUGUCUAUGAGAAAACAAGAAGCACAAGAAACAUGUGUAACAAUUCCGCAGAAAAGUUAAUUCUAGUAUGAAUUAUAAUCUGGGAUGUUUUGCUGUGGUAGCUAAACAAUAAACAUGUUAUUUAACGCUAGGAUUCAACAAAAUAGUUUUUCUCUUUCCCUAGAAACAUUAAAAAACAAAAAUCCAGAAUAGGAUAUAACUAGCCAAUCUAAAUGGAACAAACUUCCUGUAAAAGGGUAUUUAUUUCUCAACCAUAUGGAAACAGGGGCUGCCAAUUGAAUAUGUGCCAUUAGAAAUUAAGUUAUCUUACAUGACCUGCAUAGUAGGCACGGAUCUGAAGAUCUUUAUCAACCUGCACUGUCUGCUUCAGGUCCACUGCUAUGACUUUCUUUAUGCAUGCAGAAAUAUGAUCAGCAGUAAAUUGCUCUUCCUCCCCCCUUCUAUCAACCAUUACUUUUCGAUAGUCCUCCAACAUCAAAGGAGCCAAUGCCUUUGUUGGAUACUGUAGUAAAACAACUUUACUAAAAACAUCAAAUUAAAAUCUAGAUUUCCAAUUCCAAUCACGAUAUUGGGAGCUUAUAUGUACAAGUUCUCUCAGACUAUCAGACAAGUCAAAAAAUAAAAAUCACAUGGUUAAAGAAAGAAACCAAAAAAAUCAAAGAGAAAAUGGGCAUAUCUCAUCAUGAAAUUGCGGGAAGAGUCAUUUUCCAUAUUCUCACAUAAAAAGUUAAAUUAGUCUAAGCACCAAAAUACUCCCAAUCCAGCAAACAAAAGUAGGGGGAAAAUCAAGAUGAACAUGAACUAAGAUCUAAAGAAAUAUAGUAACUUUGAAAAGAACCACCACAAAAACUCGUAUAUUACACAGACUCCCAAAACAAAAAAGAGCAAAACCAAGUUUCCACUUAUAUUUUACGUGGAACUCGGCCAUUUAAUGAGCAAACUUAUCACUGAAGUAAAAAAGAAAAAGCCUAGUAAGGUUACUUGACGCUUUAACAUGAAUAAGAUUUUAAUCACCCAAUUCCAACUCCAAAUAACAUCCAAUCCAAAAAGCCCAGACCAACGAGCAUCUUUCAAUAAUAAAUCCUUUACAUCGUGAAUCUAAAUUAUGAAUCAAACAUUUUAACUAGCACCUUAGAGACAUUACCGUCAUGUAAACCGGUCCAUUAUACCCACAAACUUCAGUGAAGUAAGGAAGAGCACCAACAUGAUCCAAAUGAAAAUGGGUGAUGAUAACGCAAUCGAGGGCACUAUCAAAAUCUCCAGAUGUAGAGAUAAGAGAGAAAUCAGGGUACCGACGGUGAUCAUCGUAGCCCAUGUGCAUCCCACAAUCGAACAUUAUUCGUUUGCCAUUGAUCGACACUACCACGCAGCUUUUCCCCACUUCCUGCCCAGCACCAAGGACCAGGCAUUCAAUGGCCAUGGUAUCCUAUCUCUGCGCAAUGAAAAGUUUAAAAACCCUAGCCUGUCAGUUCUUCGCGCGCUUCAGGGUACCUGCGAUGGAUUGCUUCUGUAAUGCGGGAAGGACGAGGGGCAGCGGAGUGCUUCUGUGAAACAGCAAGGUUGAGGGGCGGGCGACACUUUGCUUCUGCGCUGCGACGAGAUGGAGAGGCGGGGGAUUCUUCUGUGCAACGGCGAGAUUGAGGGGCAGAGAUAGACUGAGAGAGUGAGAGCGAAAAGCGGGAGGCGGCUUUCCAGUCUGCAGAAAGUCUAAAGAGACUAU